RNAcentral lists this ribosomal RNA (269 nucleotides) under uncultured prokaryote. RNAcentral describes it as "partial 16S ribosomal RNA". It matches the Rfam family "Bacterial small subunit ribosomal RNA", at positions 524 to 792 of the family's 1533-position model. The record is from RNAcentral.
UACGGAGGAUCCGAGCGUUAUCCGGAUUUAUUGGGUUUAAAGGGUGCGUAGGCGGCCGAGUAAGUCAGCGGUGAAAGUUUGCAGCUUAACUGUAAAAUUGCCGUUGAAACUGCCGGUCUUGAGUGCAAAUGAGGUAGGCGGAAUGCGUCGUGUAGCGGUGAAAUGCUUAGAUAUGACGCAGAACUCCGAUUGCGAAGGCAGCUUACUGGGAUGCAACUGACGCUGAAGCACGAAAGCGUGGGUAUCAAACAGGAUUAGAUACCCCGGUA